RNAcentral lists this transfer RNA (71 nucleotides) under Marmota monax (woodchuck). RNAcentral describes it as "tRNA.Gly". The record is from RNAcentral. Lineage: Eukaryota; Metazoa; Chordata; Mammalia; Rodentia; Sciuridae.
GGGGUUGUGGCUUAGUGGUAGAGUGCUUGUAUACCACAUGUGAGGCACUGAGUUUGAUUCUCAGCACCACA